UACGUAGGGGGCUAGCGUUGUCCGGAUUUAUUGGGCGUAAAGAGCGUGUAGGCGGCCAGGUAGGUCUGGUGUGAAAACUCGAGGCUUAACCUCGAGAUGUCAUCGGAAACCAUCUGGCUAGAGUCCGGAAGAGGAGAGUGGAAUUCCUGGUGUAGCGGUGAAAUGCGCAGAUAUCAGGAAGAACACCGAUGGCGAAGGCAGUGGGCUGGGCCGGUACUGACGCUGAGGAGCAAAAGCGUGGGGAGCGAACAGG
RNAcentral lists this ribosomal RNA (253 nucleotides) under uncultured bacterium. RNAcentral describes it as "partial 16S ribosomal RNA". It matches the Rfam family "Bacterial small subunit ribosomal RNA", at positions 524 to 776 of the family's 1533-position model. The record is from RNAcentral.